CUACGGGGGGCUGCAGUGGGGAAUAUUGCACAAUGGGCGCAAGCCUGAUGCAGCAACGCCGCGUGAACGAAGAAGGUCUUCGGAUCGUAAAGUUCUUUUCUUAGGGAAGAAAAAUGACGGUACCUAAGGAAUAAGCACCGGCUAAAUACGUGCCAGCAGCCGCGGUAAUACGUAUGGUGCAAGCGUUAUCCGGAAUCACAGGGCGUAAAGGGAGCGUAGGCGGUUUUGCAAGUCAGAAGUGAAAGGCUACGGCUCAACCGUGGUAAGCUUUUGAAACUGCAAGACUAGAGUGCAGGAGAGGCAAGUGGAAUUCCUAGUGUAGAGGUGAAAUUCGUAGAUAUUAGGAGGAACACCAGUGGCGAAGGCGACUUGCUGGACUGUAACUGACGCUGAGGCUCGAAAGCGUGGGGAGCGAACAGGAUUAGAUACCCGAGUAGUC
RNAcentral lists this ribosomal RNA (439 nucleotides) under uncultured bacterium. RNAcentral describes it as "partial 16S ribosomal RNA". It matches the Rfam family "Bacterial small subunit ribosomal RNA", at positions 339 to 795 of the family's 1533-position model. The record is from RNAcentral.